UUGGAAGUACCAGUAAACACCAGACAACUCAAGCAAACGGCAUUGAAAUAACAGAUGAAUCGGAUAAUAAGGGAUGUUUUCAGAAUAAGUCUGUUACAACAAUGAUGGCAUUGAUGAUUAUAGCAGUCGUAGGAGUAGCUGUACUGGAUACCGUUCUCGGUUACCAUUUCUACAAACUUAGGAAACAGUUAAUGGGAGGAUCUCAUAUGGCUUUGACGACCAGUGGAGUUGCUCCUGUAUCCACGAUGAUAAAGAAAUAAAUGUGUGAAUUAGUACUAUUUGACAUUUUCGUUUAUUCAUUCACUCAUUUGACAUCAUGUAACAUAAUUUAUUUUUAUUUUUUCGAAUACUAGUAGCCUUCAUAUGAUUUUUUUUUAAAACAGCAAAAUCUUUUUCCCUUUCCUGUUGUUAAAUUUCCUUUCCUUGAUAGUUUUAUCCCUUGAAGCUUCUGUAAACAUUUUCCGCAGUUGUUUCAGGAUUCAAUAGCUUACAGAAGCUUAGGUGCAGUAAUCGAAAUAUUUUAUUUUAAUAACAAGUGUGGACACGGAUCAGUGUGGAUAGUAAUUUUUAAAUUUGUGUUAGUAUGUUUGACAGUGUUAUCGUCACCGAGUUAAUGUAUUGGUUGUGCCCCCACCUUAUGUUUUGAGCUAUUUCUUUAUCUUUCACAUAUGGUUAUAUGUUAAACUGUGUUCCACGGUGACGGUUAUCUUUGCAUUUUGAGAUAAGAAGCAAAAGCUCAAAAUUAGCAUUGUGCAGGGUUAGACAUUAGUUGUUUU
Mytilus californianus (California mussel) is the source of this 776-nucleotide long non-coding RNA. RefSeq lists it as uncharacterized. The record is from RefSeq and is a predicted model, not a curated record. Lineage: Eukaryota; Metazoa; Mollusca; Bivalvia; Mytilida; Mytilidae. The transcript has 2 exons.